This 24-nucleotide non-coding RNA is filed under the name Arabidopsis thaliana (thale cress). Lineage: Eukaryota; Viridiplantae; Streptophyta; Magnoliopsida; Brassicales; Brassicaceae. The record is from RNAcentral.
ACGACGAGUAUAUUUAGGCCCGGU